Molecule: long non-coding RNA, 669 nt
Organism: Alligator mississippiensis (American alligator)
Lineage: Eukaryota; Metazoa; Chordata; Crocodylia; Alligatoridae
Exons: 2
Source: RefSeq, a predicted model, not a curated record
CGGGGGAAGGACAACACGUGUCCGUUACGCGUGAGCUCAAUGGCUCCAGCCUCGGGGGAGGAGCCCUCGCCGGCCCCGCCCACCGCGGGGGGCGGGGCACGCAGGCAGCGCCUACCCGAACUCCAAGUGGCCUCCAGGCAGCUGAGGUAAACUUCACUUGCAGAACAAUGAAGGAAGAAUCGUAAGUGUAGACCGGAUCAGACGGAUCACCUGAACCACCCUCUCCGUGAACACGAACCUCUUAGUUCAAGCUGAAGCUGCAGAGCGCCCGAAAGGGACUGAAGGAAGGGGACUUAGUCCUAUCACUGCUGAGGCCAGCCCAUUGAACCGUAUUGCUGAGGCGAGCCCAUUGAACCGUAUUACUGAGGCCAACCCAUUAAAUUGUACUACUGAGGAAUUAAACCAUAUUUACAUGUAUGGCUUCUCGGAAUUCUAGGAUUGUAAGUAUAUUAUGAAAAUAAUAGUAUUGAUUCAAAUGUAACUUUUAGUUGUAAUUGUAGUUGUUUUUGUAGUACUAAUUCUUAUAGCAUUGUUUGGGAAGGAAGUGCAUUCGGAGCAUUGUUUCUGAUAUAUGUAAUUAUUGUGUUCUUAAUGUUUGUGGUAUUUCUUAAAGCUAAGCAGUGUUAUAUGCGUAGCAAAGAAUUUUAAAAUAAAAUUGUGUUGUAUGAA